Ordospora colligata OC4 is the source of this 72-nucleotide transfer RNA. It matches the Rfam family "tRNA". Rfam says of the family: Transfer RNA (tRNA) molecules are approximately 80 nucleotides in length. Their secondary structure includes four short double-helical elements and three loops (D, anti-codon, and T loops). Further hydrogen bonds mediate the characteristic L-shaped molecular structure. tRNAs have two regions of fundamental functional importance: the anti-codon, which is responsible for specific mRNA codon recognition, and the 3' end, to which the tRNAs corresponding amino acid is attached (by aminoacyl-tRNA synthetases). tRNAs cope with the degeneracy of the genetic code in two manners: having more than one tRNA (with a specific anti-codon) for a particular amino acid; and 'wobble' base-pairing, i.e. permitting non-standard base-pairing at the 3rd anti-codon position. The record is from Rfam. NCBI's taxonomy places the organism in Eukaryota, Fungi, Microsporidia, Ordosporidae.
GCUGAAUUAGCUCAGUGGGAGAGCACCAGACUGAAGAUCUGGGUGUCCUGGGUUCGAUCCCCAGAUUCAGCA